RNAcentral lists this ribosomal RNA (459 nucleotides) under uncultured bacterium. RNAcentral describes it as "partial 16S ribosomal RNA". It matches the Rfam family "Bacterial small subunit ribosomal RNA", at positions 339 to 795 of the family's 1533-position model. The record is from RNAcentral.
CUACGGGUCGCUCCAGUAAGGAAUAUUGCGCAAUGGAGGCAACUCUGACGCAGCCAUGCCGCGUGCAGGAAGAAGGCCUUAUGGGCCGUAAACUGCUUUUAUUUAGGAAUAAACCCCCGAACGUGUUCGGGGCUGAAGGUACUAAACGAAUAAGCACCGGCUAACUCCAUGCCAGCAGCCGCGGUAAUACGGAGGGUGCAAGCGUUAUCCGGAUUUAUUGGGUUUAAAGGGUGCGCAGGCGGGCUAUUAAGUCAGUGGUGAAAUCCCGGGGCUCAACUCCGGAACUGCCAUUGAUACUGGUAGUCUUGAGUUUGGUUGAAGUGGGCGGAAUGUAGCAUGUAGCGGUGAAAUGCAUAGAUAUGCUACAGAACACCAAUCGCGAAGGCAGCUCACUAAGCCAAAACUGACGCUCAUGCACGAAAGCGUGGGGAUCAAACAGGAUUAGAUACCCGAGUAGUC